RNAcentral lists this ribosomal RNA (468 nucleotides) under uncultured bacterium. RNAcentral's name for it is "partial 16S ribosomal RNA". It matches the Rfam family "Bacterial small subunit ribosomal RNA", at positions 28 to 507 of the family's 1533-position model. The record is from RNAcentral.
GACGAACGCUGGCGGCGUGCUUAACACAUGCAAGUCGAACGGAAAGGCCCUGCUUUUGUGGGGUGCUCGAGUGGCGAACGGGUGAGUAACACGUGAGUAACCUGCCCUUGUCUUUGGGAUAACUUCAGGAAACUGGGGCUAAUACCGGAUAGGAGCUCCUGCUGCAUGGUGGGGGUUGGAAAGUUUCGGCGGUUGGGGAUGGACUCGCGGCUUAUCAGCUUGUUGGUGGGGUAGUGGCUUACCAAGGCUUUGACGGGUAGCCGGCCUGAGAGGGUGACCGGCCACAUUGGGACUGAGAGACGGCCCAGACUCCUACGGGAGGCAGCAGUGGGGAGUAUUGCACAGUGGGCGGAAGCCUGAUGCAGCAACGCCGCGUGCGGGAUGACGGCCUUCGAGUUGUAAACCGCUUUCGCCUGUGACGAAGCGUGAGUAACGGUAAUGGGUAAAGAAGCACCGGCUAACUACGUG